This 494-nucleotide ribosomal RNA is filed under the name uncultured bacterium. RNAcentral describes it as "partial 16S ribosomal RNA". It matches the Rfam family "Bacterial small subunit ribosomal RNA", at positions 28 to 507 of the family's 1533-position model. The record is from RNAcentral.
GACGAACGCUGGCGGCGUGCUUAACACAUGCAAGUCGAACGGAAAGGCCUGCUUUCCCUUGUGGAUUGCGGGUACUCGAGUGGCGAACGGGUGAGUAACACGUGAGUGAUCUGCCCCCAACUUGGGUAUAAGCCUGGGAAACUGGGUCUAAUUCCCGAUAGGACUGCAGGGUGGUGCCUGUGGUGGAAAACGAUUUUCUAGUGGUUGGGGAUGAGCUCGCGGCCUAUCAGCUUGUUGGUGGGGUAAUGGCCUACCAAGGCGGCGGCGGGUAGCCGGCCUGAGAGGGUGGACGGCCACAUUGGGACUGAGGUACGGCCCAGACUCCUACGGGAGGCAGCAGUGGGGAAUAUUGCACAAUGGGCGGAAGCCUGAUGCAGCGACGCCGCGUGGGGGAUGACGGCCUUCGGGUUGUAAACUCCUUUCGACCGCGAGGAAGCCACCUGGUUGGAAGGGUGGUGACGGUAGUGGUAGAAGAAGCACCGGCUAACUACGUG